AUUGAACGCUGGCGGCAUGCCUAAUACAUGCAAGUCGAACGAGUGGCGGACGGGUGUGUAAUGUCUGGGAACUUGCCCGACGGAGGGGGAUAACUACUGGAAACGGUAGUUAAUACCGCAUACCAUCGGAUGUGCCCUGACGGGAUUAGCUAGUAGGUGGGGUAACGGCUCACCUAGGCGACGAUCCCUAGCUGGUCUGAGAGGAUGACCGGCAACACUGGAACUGAGACACGGUCCAGACUCCUACGGGAGGCAGCAGUGGGGAAUAUUGCGCAAUGGGCGAAAGCCUGAUGCAGCAAUGCCGCGUGUGUGAAGAAGGCCUUCGGGUUGUAAAGUUCUUUCAUCGGGGAGGCGUUACUCAAAGAGAAAGCACCGGCUAACUCCGUGCCAGCAGCCGCGGUAAUUC
This 406-nucleotide ribosomal RNA is filed under the name uncultured bacterium. RNAcentral's name for it is "partial 16S ribosomal RNA". It matches the Rfam family "Bacterial small subunit ribosomal RNA", at positions 30 to 526 of the family's 1533-position model. The record is from RNAcentral.